Molecule: ribosomal RNA, 1370 nt
Filed under: uncultured bacterium
Lineage: Bacteria
Description: bacterial SSU rRNA
Rfam family: Bacterial small subunit ribosomal RNA
Source: RNAcentral
GAUGAACGCUGGCGGCGUGCCUAAUACAUGCAAGUCGAGCGAACGGACGAGAAGCUUGCUUCUCUGAUGUUAGCGGCGGACGGGUGAGUAACACGUGGAUAACCUACCUAUAAGACUGGGAUAACUUCGGGAAACCGGAGCUAAUACCGGAUAAUAUUUUGAACCGCAUGGUUCAAAAGUGAAAGACGGUCUUGCUGUCACUUAUAGAUGGAUCCGCGCUGCAUUAGCUAGUUGGUAAGGUAACGGCUUACCAAGGCAACGAUGCAUAGCCGACCUGAGAGGGUGAUCGGCCACACUGGAACUGAGACACGGUCCAGACUCCUACGGGAGGCAGCAGUAGGGAAUCUUCCGCAAUGGGCGAAAGCCUGACGGAGCAACGCCGCGUGAGUGAUGAAGGUCUUCGGAUCGUAAAACUCUGUUAUUAGGGAAGAACAUAUGUGUAAGUAACUGUGCACAUCUUGACGGUACCUAAUCAGAAAGCCACGGCUAACUACGUGCCAGCAGCCGCGGUAAUACGUAGGUGGCAAGCGUUAUCCGGAAUUAUUGGGCGUAAAGCGCGCGUAGCGGUUUUUUAGUCUGAUGUGAAAGCCCACGGCUCAACCGUGGAGGGUCAUUGGAAACUGGAAAACUUGAGUGCAGAAGAGGAAAGUGGAAUUCCAUGUGUAGCGGUGAAAUGCGCAGAGAUAUGGAGGAACACCAGUGGCGAAGGCGACUUUCUGGUCUGUAACUGACGCUGAUGUGCGAAAGCGUGGGGAUCAAACAGGAUUAGAUACCCUGGUAGUCCACGCCGUAAACGAUGAGUGCUAAGUGUUAGGGGGUUUCCGCCCCUUAGUGCUGCAGCUAACGCAUUAAGCACUCCGCCUGGGGAGUACGACCGCAAGGUUGAAACUCAAAGGAAUUGACGGGGACCCGCACAAGCGGUGGAGCAUGUGGUUUAAUUCGAAGCAACGCGAAGAACCUUACCAAAUCUUGACAUCCUUUGACAACUCUAGAGAUAGAGCCUUCCCCUUCGGGGGACAAAGUGACAGGUGGUGCAUGGUUGUCGUCAGCUCGUGUCGUGAGAUGUUGGGUUAAGUCCCGCAACGAGCGCAACCCUUAAGCUUAGUUGCCAUCAUUAAGUUGGGCACUCUAAGUUGACUGCCGGUGACAAACCGGAGGAAGGUGGGGAUGACGUCAAAUCAUCAUGCCCCUUAUGAUUUGGGCUACACACGUGCUACAAUGGACAAUACAAAGGGCAGCGAAACCGCGAGGUCAAGCAAAUCCCAUAAAGUUGUUCUCAGUUCGGAUUGUAGUCUGCAACUCGACUACAUGAAGCUGGAAUCGCUAGUAAUCGUAGAUCAGCAUGCUACGGUGAAUACGUUCCCGGGUCU